AACGAACGCUGGCGGCAUGCCUAACACAUGCAAGUCGAACGAGACCUUCGGGUCUAGUGGCGCACGGGUGCGUAACGCGUGGGAAUCUGCCCUUGGGUUCGGAAUAACAGUUAGAAAUGACUGCUAAUACCGGAUAAUGUCUUCGGACCAAAGAUUUAUCGCCCAGGGAUGAGCCCGCGUAGGAUUAGCUAGUUGGUGAGGUAAAGGCUCACCAAGGCGACGAUCCUUAGCUGGUCUGAGAGGAUGAUCAGCCACACUGGGACUGAGACACGGCCCAGACUCCUACGGGAGGCAGCAGUGGGGGAAUAUUGGGACAAUGGGCGAAAGCCUGAUCCAGCAAUGCCGCGUGAGUGAUGAAGGCCUUAGGGUUGUAAAGCUCUUUUACCCGGGAUGAUAAUGACAGUACCGGGAGAAUAAGCCCCGGCUAACUCCGUGCCAGCAGCCGCGGUAAU
This 452-nucleotide ribosomal RNA is filed under the name uncultured bacterium. Its description in RNAcentral is "bacterial SSU rRNA". It matches the Rfam family "Bacterial small subunit ribosomal RNA", at positions 29 to 524 of the family's 1533-position model. The record is from RNAcentral.